RNAcentral lists this ribosomal RNA (400 nucleotides) under uncultured bacterium. Its description in RNAcentral is "bacterial SSU rRNA". It matches the Rfam family "Bacterial small subunit ribosomal RNA", at positions 355 to 769 of the family's 1533-position model. The record is from RNAcentral.
UAGGGAAUAUUGCGCAAUGGGGGAAACCCUGACGCAGCGACGCCGCGUGAGUGAUGAAGGCCUUCGGGUCGUAAAGCUCUGUUGUACGGGAAGAAACAAAUGACGGUACCGUAUAAGAAAGGACCGGCUAACUUCGUGCCAGCAGCCGCGGUAAUACGAGGGGUCCUAGCGUUGUUCGGAAUCAUUGGGCGUAAAGAGUAUGUAGGCGGCCUUAUAAGUCAGAUGUGAAAUCCCUGGGCUCAACCCAGGAAGUGCAUUUGAUACUGUUAGGCUUGAGUAUGGAAGAGGGUAGUGGAAUUCCUGGUGUAGUGGUGAAAUACGUAGAUAUCAGGAGGAAUACCGGUGGCGAAGGCGGCUACCUGGUCCUAUACUGACGCUGAGAUACGAAAGCAUGGGUAGC